CCUACGGGCUGCAGCAGUGGGGAAUAUUGCACAAUGGGCGCAAGCCUGAUGCAGCCAUGCCGCGUGUAUGAAGAAGGCCUUAGGGUUGUAAAGUACUUUCAGUUGGGAGGAAGGCGUUGAUGCUAAUAUCAUCAACGAUUGACGUUACCAACAGAAGAAGCACCGGCUAACUCCGUGCCAGCAGCCGCGGUAAUACGGAGGGUGCAAGCGUUAAUCGGAAUUGCUGGGCGUAAGGCGCACGCAGGCGGUUGAUUAAGUUAGAUGUGAAAUCCCCGGGCUUAACCUGGGAAUGGCAUCUAAGACUGGUCAGCUAGAGUCUUGUAGAGGGGGGUAGAAUUCCACGUGUAGCGGUGAAAUGCGUAGAGAUGUGGAGGAACACCAGUGGCGAAGGCGGCUCUCUGGUCUGUAACUGACGCUGAGGCGCGAAAGCGUGGGGAGCAAACAGGAUUAGAUACCCCUGUAGUC
RNAcentral lists this ribosomal RNA (465 nucleotides) under uncultured bacterium. RNAcentral describes it as "bacterial SSU rRNA". It matches the Rfam family "Bacterial small subunit ribosomal RNA", at positions 338 to 795 of the family's 1533-position model. The record is from RNAcentral.